RNAcentral lists this ribosomal RNA (253 nucleotides) under uncultured bacterium. RNAcentral's name for it is "partial 16S ribosomal RNA". It matches the Rfam family "Bacterial small subunit ribosomal RNA", at positions 524 to 776 of the family's 1533-position model. The record is from RNAcentral.
AACGUAGGAGACAAACGUUAUCCGGAGUUACUGGGCGUAAAGGGCGUGCAGGUGGUCUGUUAAGUCUGGCGUGAAAGCUCCUGGCUAAACCGGGAGAGGUCGUUGGAUACUGGCGGACUAGAGGACGGUAGAGGCGUGUGGAAUUCCGGGUGUAGUGGUGAAAUGCGUAGAUAUCUGGAGGAACACCGGUGGCGAAGGCGGCAUCCUGGACCGGCAUUGACGCUGAGGCGCGAAAGCGUGGGGAGCGAACAGG